GGGGACAUAGCUCAGUGGUAGAGCGCAUGCUUGGUGUGUACAAGGUCCUGAGUUCAAUCCCAAGUGCCUCCA
This 72-nucleotide transfer RNA is filed under the name Camelus bactrianus (Bactrian camel). It matches the Rfam family "tRNA". Rfam says of the family: Transfer RNA (tRNA) molecules are approximately 80 nucleotides in length. Their secondary structure includes four short double-helical elements and three loops (D, anti-codon, and T loops). RNAcentral also lists the same sequence under 2 other names. The record is from Rfam by way of RNAcentral. Lineage: Eukaryota; Metazoa; Chordata; Mammalia; Artiodactyla; Camelidae.